This 497-nucleotide ribosomal RNA is filed under the name uncultured bacterium. RNAcentral describes it as "partial 16S ribosomal RNA". It matches the Rfam family "Bacterial small subunit ribosomal RNA", at positions 28 to 507 of the family's 1533-position model. The record is from RNAcentral.
GACGAACGCUGGCGGCGUGCCUAACACAUGCAAGUCGAGCGGACGGACGAGAAGCUUGCUGCUCUGAUGUUAGCGGAGGACGGGUGAGUAACACGUGGAUAACCUACCUAUAAGACUGGGAUAACUUCGGGAAACCGGAGCUAAUACCGGAUAAUAUUUUGAACCGCAUGGUUCAAUAGUGAAAGACGGUCUUGCUGUCACUUAUAGCUGGAUCCGCGCUGCAUUAGCUAGUUGGUAAGGUAACGGCUUACCAAGGCAACGAGGCAUAGCCGACCUGAGAGGGUGGUCGGCCACCUUGGAACGGAGACAGGGUCCAUACUCCUACGGGAGGCCGCAGUAUGCAACCUGACGCAACGGUCGGAAGCCUGACGGAGCAGCCCCACGUGAGAGAUGAAGGUCUUCGGUUCGUAAAACUGUGUUUUUGGGGAAGAACAGAUUUGUAAGUAACUGUGCACAGCUUGACGGUACCGGAUCAGAAAGCCACGGCUAACUACGUG